Cricetulus griseus (Chinese hamster) is the source of this 59-nucleotide microRNA precursor. Lineage: Eukaryota; Metazoa; Chordata; Mammalia; Rodentia; Cricetidae. The record is from Ensembl.
AGGCGGGGAACCUGAGGCGCUGGCUGUGUCUGACUCAGCCACUCAGUCGCCCCGCCACA